UGCUGACCAUUAGAGCCAUGACGGCAUCAUCUCUCGUUGAACCUCCUUAACAAGGCAGUACAGAUACCAGAAAUGUUGUCCUGUCUAGCACACGUAAUGCUGCUCAACCACCGCUGCCAAACCGGUUUAUCACAAAAUACGAUGUCGACACCAUCAUGAAGCCCCGACGCACCCUUGAACUUUCAAGAAAUGGUUGGGUUUGGUCAAGGGACUGGUAUUGGAUCUGAUAUAUUGUCAUUAUUGUCACACCUUUUUGCUAAAUAUGAGGUCUUGAAAACUGCUUGGCAUUAAUACUCCUUGUGAGGUGUAACCCAACGUUAAUGACGCCUGUCUGUAUAAGUGGUACAUACUUGACACCUAUGGCGAAGGAUGAGCCAGUUAUUUUCGAGUUUGUGCUUUGGGUGCAUCUCGUUCCUCGGGUUGCAUUGCGCCCGCGACCCCAUAGGAGUUCCUGGUCUUGUCUCUUCGCCCCCAACCCCGAUAAACUCUGUGUGCCGUGAACGAAUGCUCAUCAGGUCGACAGAAAUUUGACGACGUAAAUCCAUCCAUAUUAACUGGCGCUGCGGCUGCGCUCAAUAGACUCCGUUGGGGAGUCUGAGCCUGAUAGGGUGUACCAGUCCAGCCGGUUAUGUACGGUUGGUAUGCUCUAUGAUAUGGAUCUCCAGCCACCUGUCAGCUAGGGGCAGACCCCAGUGUCUCAACCCUGGGUCUCAGAGGCGGUAACUUCUAGUCAGGCAGCGCGCUAUGUCUGGUUAGGCGACAUGGGUUACCAGGGCAUCCACAGCCAAUAUGGUUUGCACAUGGAGGUCAUCGCGACCGACUUGUGAGGGGGAAGAAGUGAUGUCCAUGGCGGUUUCAAAUUGAUCUGACGACCCCCGCGUCUUUGGACUGGAGGGGUUCAUGUGGCCAAAUGCUGUCAGCUAAAUCCUAUCGUUAGCAUCGUUCGCGGUACAUGGAAACCCAGGGCAUGGAACCCUUUUUGUCUUCAAGUUGGUUUAAUUUCCCCGAGGAUUUCAAAUAUGAUAUAUAUAUUUAGAUCCACAGGUACAGUCAUACAUUUUUUAAUUUGUUUUCGAGCAUUGUAAAGAGGUUAUGAGAAUAAAUUUCCUCUUUGGACGUGUUUUUCUUUACCAGAAUGACAAUCAAAAGGUUUGUCACUGGAGAAUUUCCCCGUCCCAACCCCAGUCCUAGAAUAAUAUACAGACUAAAUAGUAUCUUUGGACUGUACUGGUAAUAUAGGUCAGUCACGAAAAAUAAAAAAUACAUUGGACUGUACUGGUAAUAGAGGUCAGUCACGAAUAAUGAAAUAUGUAUUGGACUGUACUGGUAAUAGAGGUCAGUCACAAAGAAUGAAAUGUACAAUGGACUGUACUGGUAAUAGAGGUCAGUCACGAAAAAAAGAAAUAUGUAUUGGACUGUACUGGUAAUAUAGGUCAGUCACGAAAAUAUCUGAAAGUCUGUGCCCCAUUGUUGACGAAUACAAUAUCGUGAAGACUUUAUCAAUAGUCACGGUCCCUGGCCCCUCCCACAAAAAAAACAUCAGCAAGGUCACUGCAGGCAAUAGCUUCAGUAUUGUUAUUGUAUAAACAUGUCUUAAACAUUAUAAACGGCCCUAUUUUGUGGGGUUACAUUGGGUUCUUGCUGGGGUAAUGAUGUCCAUGUCCGAUUCUGCAUUUUGUGGACUUGUAAAUCAGUCCAGCAGUGACACUGCGUUUUGUGGGCAUGUAAGUCUGUCCAGCAGUAUCAAGUUUCACCCCAGCAGUUACCAAAAAGACCUGCACGUGACCUUAAAGUAAAUUUAUGAUGAUAUAACUAUGCAAGUGUGGUAGGGACAAAACGCGAUGGAUGCAUUGGAAGAAGGAAAUCUGCAAAGUGUAGCUGGAACUGUCUGUCCAGCUCUCGUUUAUGAAACAAUGGGCGAUUUGAACUCCUGAUCAACAAAUCGCCCAUUGUUGACUGAAUCAGCUUUCUAAUUGUCUCCAUUUUUUCAGGUGAAUAGUUGCUCUAUCUCGUGUGGUUUCGCGGUUCCGUCCCAUGAAUCGAGCCUACACGACAGAGGCCACUUCUGCGAGGGAAAUUAUCAGUUUGGGGACAAAUUUCCUGGUGGAUCGUAAGAGCAGGACUUGGCUCCCAGUUGCCCAUCUCGCAUGAGUUGGAGAUAAAUAUUCAGGAUGCCAGAUUUGUGGAACAAAGUUGAGGCCAGAAGCCAAGGAUCCUGAUCAGGGAACAUCAGUUCCCAACGGAAUUUACCAUUUUCUUGUUGUAAUUUAUGCUGUUGGGUUAAAAAAUUCAAUCAAACACUGUUACUCUUUGUUUCAAGUGAACCUUUGCAAAAAUGUGCUUAUUCCCGAUUGGGCUGAAAUCAAUAGCACUAAUUUGUAUGUACUCGCUGAUCCAGAAUAUUGCUAUUUCUUGUUCCGUUUUCAAUGUGGCAAUUAAUUUGCUGUUUGGUGAUGGUUGUGACGUGAUAACAACUGAUCUAUUUCACAACACGAGUUGCAACAGCAAUGGAGUUAUUUGUCUGGGUAGUUGUCUCGGUCACAGCAAAAAAGUGUUUCUACAUUGCAUUUUUGUGCCACACUUAAUUACUCAAAAUGAUGCACGGAUGCGCCUUAUUGACAUGUUAUUUGCUUGCAAGAGGAAUUUGUUGUAGUUCAAUAUCAUUGCUCUAAAGGCCUAGAUUUCUCAAAAUAUCUGCAUUAUGUUCUUUCUUUUUUCUUAAGGCAGGCCUAAUUUAACAGAAGGCUCAGAGAAUGUUUUAGGUAGGAUAUUAUUGAUAUUUUAGGCCCAUAUCAGUUUUGAGAACAAUUUCCUCUUGAAGACAAUAAACGUCAAUAUCAAGUCUCUGCCCCAUUUUGAUUGAGCGGUUUUGGGAUAAAAUAUAUGAGAAUGCUCCAUUGGUGUUAACAGACUAUGCCAUUGUUUUAGUCAGGAAUCGGUUCAGAUCUUGCCACUUUGAUUGUUCAAUUGUUAUCAUGUCAUUGCCAUUUGCCUUUGCCAUUUGCCAUAUCACAGCCUUCGUCUCUUGUCCUUCGGUCUCCGAACGUGGGGAUCUCAAAAAGUUCGAUUUACACACUACACAGUCUCAAGGUAUA
Molecule: long non-coding RNA, 3095 nt
Organism: Lineus longissimus
Lineage: Eukaryota; Metazoa; Nemertea; Pilidiophora; Heteronemertea; Lineidae
Exons: 4
Source: RefSeq, a predicted model, not a curated record